Molecule: ribosomal RNA, 497 nt
Filed under: uncultured bacterium
Lineage: Bacteria
Description: partial 16S ribosomal RNA
Rfam family: Bacterial small subunit ribosomal RNA
Source: RNAcentral
GAUGAACGCUAGCGGCGUGCCUAAUACAUGCAAGUCGAGCGAACGGACGAGAAGCUUGCUUCUCUGACGUUAGCGGCGGACGGGUGAGUAACACGUGGAUAACCUACCUAUAAGACUGGGAUAACUUCGGGAAACCGGAGCUAAUACCGGAUAAUAUUUUGAACCGCAUGGUUCAAAAGUGAAAGACGGUCUUGCUGUCACUUAUAGAUGGAUCCGCGCUGCAUUAGCUAGUUGGUAAGGUAACGGCUUACCAAGGCAACGAUGCAUAGCCGACCUGAGAGGGUGAUCGGCCACACUGGAACUGAGACACGGUCCAGACUCCUACGGGAGGCAGCAGUAGGGAAUCUUCCGCAAUGGGCGAAAGCCUGACGGAGCAACGCCGCGUGAGUGAUGAAGGUCUUCGGAUCGUAAAACUCUGUUAUUAGGGAAGAACAUAUGUGUAAGUAACUGUGCACAUCUUGACGGUACCUAAUCAGAAAGCCACGGCUAACUACGUG